GGCAUCGGGAUUGAAGCUUGCUUCAUUGCCGGCGACCGGCGCACGGGUGCGUAACGCGUAUGUAACCUACCUAUAACAGGGGCAUAACACUGAGAAAUUGGUACUAAUUCCCCAUAAUAUUCAGAGAGGCAUCUCUCCGGGUUGAAAACUCCGGUGGUUAUAGAUGGACAUGCGUUGUAUUAGCUAGUUGGUGAGGUAACGGCUCACCAAGGCAACGAUACAUAGGGGGACUGAGAGGUUAACCCCCCACACUGGUACUGAGACACGGACCAGACUCCUACGGGAGGCAGCAGUGAGGAAUAUUGGUCAAUGGACGCAAGUCUGAACCAGCCAUGCCGCGUGCAGGAAGACGGCUCUAUGAGUUGUAAACUGCUUUUGUACGAGGGUAAACUCACCUACGUGUAGGUGACUGAAAGUAUCGUACGAAUAAGGAUCGGCUAACUCCGUGCCAGCAGCCGCGGUAAUACGGAGGAUUCAAGCGUUAUCCGGAUUUAUUGGGUUUAAAGGGUGCGUAGGCGGUUUGAUAAGUUAGAGGUGAAAUCCCGGGGCUUAACUCCGGAACUGCCUCUAAUACUGUUAGACUAGAGAGUAGUUGCGGUAGGCGGAAUGUAUGGUGUAGCGGUGAAAUGCUUAGAGAUCAUACAGAACACCGAUUGCGAAGGCAGCUUACCAAACUAUAUCUGACGU
This 687-nucleotide ribosomal RNA is filed under the name uncultured bacterium. RNAcentral describes it as "bacterial SSU rRNA". It matches the Rfam family "Bacterial small subunit ribosomal RNA", at positions 68 to 746 of the family's 1533-position model. The record is from RNAcentral.